RNA transcript from Rhinopithecus roxellana (golden snub-nosed monkey), 1450 nucleotides. RefSeq lists it as uncharacterized. The transcript has a single exon. The record is from RefSeq and is a predicted model, not a curated record. Lineage: Eukaryota; Metazoa; Chordata; Mammalia; Primates; Cercopithecidae.
UAUCCGGGAACAUAUGUCAGUGAUGACUACUCUCAAAUGCUGGCAAAUCCAGGCUGGUGUUCUGUCUGGGCUCAGACAUCCACAUAACCCUGUCACCCACAGACCGCCCUCUAACUCAAAGACUUCCUCUGGCUCCCUAAGGCUGCAAAGCAAAACAGCCUGUGUUCAACUGCUGGAGGGUCUUUUUCUAGGGUCCCUGAAUGCCGUGGUGAGGCUGGUGAGGUCCUGGUCCCUAUCUGCCUGGAGGCAAAGGCCUAGACGGCUUGACUUGUGAGGCAGGAUUCUCUGCAGCCCAUUCCCAAGGGAGACUGACCGUCCAUCAUGCCCUCUCUCAGGAGCCCUGGCCCCGCUCCAACUCCUUCAUACUCCACUCCAAGUGCCCCACCACUCCCCAGCCCCUCUCCAGGCCUGCCAAGAGGGAGGAAGGGGCCCCAUGGCAGCUCCUGACCUUGGGUCCUGAAGUGACCUCACUGGCCUGCCAUGCCAGUAACUGUGCUUUACUGAGCACUGAACCACAUUCAGGGAAAUGGCUUGUUGAACUUCGAAGCAACUGUGAAUUCAUCCUGGAGGGGCGGUGGAGAUCAAGAGUGACAGAUCACAGGGUGAGGACCACCUCCACACCCAUCCCCUCUGGAGAAGGCCUGGAAGAGCUGAGACCUUGCUUUGAGACUCCUCAGCACCCCUCCAGUUUUGCCUGAGAAGGGGCAGAUAUUCCCGGAGGAGAACACCUCUCCCCCUGUCUGCCUCACCUGGUCGCCAAUCCAUGCUCUCUUUCUUUUCUCUGUAUACUCUUUAUCCCUUGGUUUAGAGGAACCCAAGAUGUGGCCUUUAGCAAGACUGGCCAAUGUCCAAACCCACUCAUGACUGCAUGACAGAGCCCAGCCAUGUGCCUUUAGACCUCGCUGUUGUCACAUCUCAGGGAAUCGAACCUCAGGCACACCUUGCAGAAGGCAAGGCCCUGCCCUGCCCAACCUCUGUGAUCAACUGUGCAUCUUCUACUGGAACGUUUCACUGCAAACACACGUUGGAGAAGUGGCAUCAGUCAACAGAGAGGAGCAGUGAAGGAGACAUCCAGCUCACCCUUCAUCAUGGACCGAGGUUCCCUCUCUGGGCAAAGUCCCUCAGACUGCAAGGGAUUGUAGAUAACACUGACUUUUUUGUUUUAACCAAUAACUAGUUUCUUAUAAUGAUUUUUUUACUAAUGAUACUUACAAGUUUCUAGCUCUCACAGACAUAUAGAAUAAGGGUUUUUGCAUAAUAAGCAGGUUGCUAUUUAGGUUAACAAUAUUACUUCAGGUUUUUUAGUUGGAAAAACAAUUCCUGUAACCUUCUAUUUUCUAUAAUUGUAGUAAUUGCUCUACAGAUUAUGACUGUAUAUUGGCCACACUGGUGCAUGACAAGUACUGUAUUUUUUUAUACCUAAAUAAAGAAAAAUCUUCAGCCUGGGCAA